GUCUUAAACAGGAAUGAACUCGUUUGUUGUGAGGUCGUUGUGAAGCCCCGCGGUCUCGCGUUGUCAAAAGAGCUGACGCAAAUCGUUCAUUUUCAAACUUCAGCAGCUGAAAAACACCUACUUUUAGCUCUUGGUUUGUUCUAAUGGGUGGAUUGUGUGCAAUCGCUGUAAUAUUUUAUUUUUAUAAGGUCUUAAACAAGAAUAAAUUCGUUUCUUGUGAGCUCGUAGUGCGAGUGCAGGAGAAGCCGCGCCGUCUCGCGCUGUCAAAAGAGCUGACGCAAAUCGUUCAUUUUCAAACUUCAACAGCUGAAAAACACCCACUUUUAGCUCUUGGUUUGUUCUAAUGGGUUGAUUGUGUGCAAUCGCUGUAAUUAUUUUUUUUUAAAAGGUCUUAAACAGGAAUAAAUUCGUUUGUUGUGAGCUCGCUGUGCGACUGCACGAGAAGCCGCGCCGUCUCGCGCUGUCAAAAGAGCUGACGCAAAUCCUUCAUUUUCCACACUUCAAC
Long non-coding RNA from Cyprinus carpio carpio, 505 nucleotides. NCBI's taxonomy places the organism in Eukaryota, Metazoa, Chordata, Actinopteri, Cypriniformes, Cyprinidae. The record is from Ensembl.